CACCACAUGGGUAACUCCCUACGUGAAUAUUGCACGUAUUAUUAUUACUGUUUUAUAGACCCACACUACCUGUUUAUGUUUGGACUUACUGAGAAGUGAUCUGUAUUCGGAACUAUACCAACUCAACUAAUUGUUUUCUAUCUAAAAUAAUUGAAUCAUUUGUCUCGACUAAAUAGCUGUGAUUUUUUUCUAAAUCGAUCACAAUCACAUGUAAGGGGGUAGAAACAAUGUCACGUCUUGUCUUUUCAGUAAAGUGAAACACAGAGAGGAGAAGGGACCACCACAACAACAGCCUAGCAUCUACUCUUUACUGGUUAUCACGCCUUUUCGGCUCUGUUUUUGAAAAUACUUAGCCGUUAUGAACCUUUCUUCGUUAUCUCUUCCUAGCUUCCAACAUGGUCCAUUCAUUUUCAAGUUUGUAAACCCUAAACCCUAACAGUUUAUGAGCCAUGUUCUUAUAUAAAUGGCCCGCAAGGGUUUUGUUUUCUAUUAUUUUAGUGGAUUCUGGAGAAGAACAAUGUUGCAAGUUGCAACUCCCAACAAACCUUUUUAUAAAAAAGAAGAAGAAAAACUUCCAACAAGCCCUUCUACACCUGGACAAAAAUUUUGAAAUCCGAGAUCCAGAAUGAACCGGAACCGGAAAACCAAAAAAGUAUCUGAUUCAAGAUGGAAAAAUUCCCGAAUAGAUCCUAUAAAAUUACAUAAAAUCCAAACCAAAUUGUUAUUAACUAAAUCUAAGCGGAUAUUCCAAAACCUCCAAAAUACAAAAAAGUAAUAUCCGAAAUAAAUAUUUAAUACUUAAAUUAAUAUUUCAAAUAUUCAAUUAUAUGCUUAUUUUAUCAUAAUAUACAAACAAGUAUUUAAAACUUAAAGUACCUAAUUUCAUGUUUAUUUUAAUAUGAUAUCUAAAAAUAAAUGUAUCCGAAGUAAAAUAAACCGAAUAUAAAAUUAGUGGUUAGAAGACUUUUGACAUGUAUUACAAAUUAUGACUGAAUCAAAGUACUAUUAACUGAACAUUAUCCAUAUUUAAAUAAUAUUGAAUGAGGCCUAUAAAGUCAAAUAUGGAACAUGGAAACCUGAAAAAUCUAAACGAAUCCGAAUGUGUACUCGAACAUCUAUGCCUUAUAUCUAACUAAUCUAAGAAUCAGUAAUUGCAGGUAAAGCAAAAGAAAGCAGAAAAAAAUUAUUAGCAAGAAUUCAUUGUGUUUUUCUUUUGAAAUCAUGUUAAAAAAAAAUCAUAUUUAAAAUAACAAAAUAAAUACAACUAAUUCGUAAACAUGUUAAUCAAGCACAAUUCUUUUGAAUCACCAAAAUAUUUUAUAGCAUACACUUGUUAACUAGUUAUGAACUGAAGUUCUUUUGAGUCUAGAUUUCAAUUAUUCAGGUUUGUAGAAGAUUGAUCAAAAGCAGACUCUUUAAAAAGUUGCCGACUUUUUGGUUUGUAUUUGAUGUUCAGAAUUAUUUUUCUGGUGUCGACAAAAACACACCUUCUCUAAUAAUGUUGAUAAAAAAUGGUACAACAUUAAGUUUUGGAAGGCAACUGACUUGAGAAUAAUUUUAUCCCACAAAUUGGUUCGUCAAAUAUUAUAGAAAUUAAGAAACAUAAGAAAACAAAAAUUCGUUGUCAAAGGUGAUUUGAAGCGACAAACAAUUUGUCGUUGACAUCAUUUGUCAUCUUCCGUGUUUUGUCUUGUGAUUCCUUUACAACUAUUGCUCUCACUAGUAGUUAAGAUUUAAUAUCCAAUAAUGUUAAUUAAUUAUUUACUCAUGCUAUGCAAAAAGACUAAGCACAUUCCUUUUUGGGGGAUUCUAGUUCAGCUUCGCCGUUUUACGCAUAGUCUUCGGCUCGGGAGCUGCCUGUUGGGCCAUGUUACAGUGGGCUUCAAUAUAAAGGCCACAUGAGUAACUGAAGCCUAGUGGCAUUGCCACAAAUAACAAAGUUCGUUAGUCUAACGGCUUAAGAACAGAGCAGAAGUUAAAACAGAGUAGGCUGUAAGAUAAUUUUCUUACAUUUCUUCUUUGUGUUAGUUCUUCUCAGUAUACAUUUUUACUAUCUCCAUAAAAGCAUCCUUUUGACAUUUUCUAUAAUAUAUUGAAAACGAUUAAAUUAUACAAGUAGUUUUGACCAAGUGAUUAACUAAGUCUAAAACAUUCUGUGCAUAAGCCACUAGCAGAUUCAGGAACAUAUCUUUCGUUAUCUAACUAAACUCAAGACAACAUAUGUUCUUAUAAUCAUUCCAUUGGAGAAAACGAAAGAAACUAAAAAAGUAAAAGAACAUUUGCAUCACAAAGCCAAACAUAUUUAUUAGCAACAACAAAUACAUCAACACCAUUACAAGUUACUAAUAAAUAAACCUUAGUGAUAUAAAACCAUUUUUUCCCAUAUACUUCUAAAAAACCGAAAACUCAUUUUAGAGUCUUUAGAUUUUGUGCUACAACUUACUAUUAAACCCUUGACAAAAUCACAAUCACACAAAUACAAACUCACAGAAGCU
Brassica rapa (field mustard) is the source of this 2495-nucleotide long non-coding RNA. RefSeq lists it as uncharacterized. Lineage: Eukaryota; Viridiplantae; Streptophyta; Magnoliopsida; Brassicales; Brassicaceae. The record is from RefSeq and is a predicted model, not a curated record.